AUGGCAGCGCCAUGGUCCUGUUGCCCACGACGGCACCAACGGCUGCAACCAGAGGUUUUUUUGGGCCAGCAGAUUCAAGAAACACCAGGCGCUUCCAAUGCAAUCACGACACCCUCGAGUGGAACCACAGAAACGAUAAAUGGUCAACAAGGCGAUUUAAAAGUGUAUGUUCCUAGGAAAUUCUCUUAUAUUGAAUUGGCACAAGCAACAGCUAAUUUCAAUGAGGAGAGAAAGCUUGGACAGGGUGCUUUUGGUGUUGUCUAUGACGGCAGACUUGAAGGCAUAGAUGGGUCUGUGGCGAUAAAAGAGAUCCUAGAAACGUUCUCAGAACAAACGAAAAAGGCUUUUGAUGUUGAAGUUCAAAUUAUGAGCCAGCUGCAUCAUCGGAACAUUUUAAGUCUAAAGGGUUGGUGUAAGGAAGACCAACACCUACUGCUUAUCUACGAAAAAGUGGAGAACGGUAACCUGGAGGACCAUCUUUACCCUAAGAAUGGCGCCAUGGAUAGUGGAGUUUAUACUGAAAGAGAGAAUGGUACAUGUCUGUCUUCACACCUAAGUUGGCUGACAAGGUGCAACAUAAUAAUUGGUAUAGCCUCUGGUCUAGCAUACCUCCAUAAGGAAUGCCAGGCUACUGUCGUGCAUAGGGAUCUCAAGCCAGCUAAUGUAAUGCUGGACAAGAACUGGAAUGCUAAACUGGCAGACUUUGGGCUGGUGACACAACUCAGGCGUACCCAAACCUCGCGCCCUACGGACAAUGUCAUCGGGACACUAUCAUAUAUGGACCCAGCAUACAUGAACACCGGCAAAGUAUCCGAGCACUGUGAUGUCUACAGCUUCGGCGUGGUAUUGCUUGAGAUUGUCUGUGGUAAAAGACCAUCCAUCAUGCAAGGCAGUGAUAACACUAGAAAGAACAGCCUCAUCGAGAUGGUCCGUGAAUGUCAAGGGAGGAAUAGAAUUAUCGAUGCAGCUGACAAAGGGCUCAGGGGGCAGUACGACAAUAAGAUCAAAGAUGUGUUACGGCUCGGUCUCGAGUGCGUCCACUCAGAUCGUCGUGAUCGUCCACAUGCCGUAAGAGUGAGGGAUCGCUUAAAUGAUCUGGUGCCGAAUGGGAAGGGAUUAGCUGCCUCGACCUCUCAGAGUGAAGGGGAGUUUGGUACGUGCAGGAUCACGUUCCCUACGCAUUCACUGGCCGACGAAGAAGCUGGCGUUUCACCCCUUCUUUCUAGGUGA
RNAcentral lists this ribosomal RNA (1230 nucleotides) under Triticum aestivum (bread wheat). Its description in RNAcentral is "partial small subunit ribosomal RNA". Lineage: Eukaryota; Viridiplantae; Streptophyta; Magnoliopsida; Poales; Poaceae. The record is from RNAcentral.